CAGCGCCACUAGUGGCGUUCACGAUUAUUGGGCCUAAAGCGUCCGUAGCCGGUUUAGUAAAUCCCUUGUGAAAUCGACGUGCUUAACGCGUCGGCGUGCAGGGGACACUGCUAAACUAGGGACCGGGAGGAGUCUGAGGUAUGCAAUGGGGACCGGUAAAAUGGGAUAAUCCAUUGUAGACCACCGAUGGCGAAGGCAUCAGACCAGAACGGAUCCGACGGUGAGGAACGAAAGCCAGGGGAGCGAACCGGAUUAGAUACCCGAGUAGUCC
Molecule: ribosomal RNA, 271 nt
Filed under: uncultured archaeon
Lineage: Archaea
Description: partial 16S ribosomal RNA
Rfam family: Archaeal small subunit ribosomal RNA
Source: RNAcentral